GACGAACGCUGGCGGCGUGCUUAACACAUGCAAGUCGAACGGAAAGGCCCUGCCUUUGUGGGGUGCUCGAGUGGCGAACGGGUGAGUAACACGUGAGUAACCUGCCCUUGACUUUGGGAUAACUUCAGGAAACUGGGGCUAAUACCGGAUAGGAGCUCCUGCUGCAUGGUGGGGGUUGGAAAGUUUCGGCGGUUGGGGAUGGACUCGCGGCUUAUCAGCUUGUUGGUGGGGUAGUGGCUUACCAAGGCUUUGACGGGUAGCCGGCCUGAGAGGGUGACCGGCCACAUUGGGACUGAGAUACGGCCCAGACUCCUACGGGAGGCAGCAGUGGGGAAUAUUGCACAAUGGACGGAAGCCUGAUGCAGCAACGCCGCGUGCGGGAUGACGGCCUUCGGGUUGUAAACCGCUUUCGCCUGUGACGAAGCGUGAGUGACGGUAAUGGGUAAAGAAGCACCGGCUAACUACGUG
This 468-nucleotide ribosomal RNA is filed under the name uncultured bacterium. Its description in RNAcentral is "partial 16S ribosomal RNA". It matches the Rfam family "Bacterial small subunit ribosomal RNA", at positions 28 to 507 of the family's 1533-position model. The record is from RNAcentral.